UACGUAGGGUGCAAGCGUUGCCCGGAUUUAUUGGGCGUAAAGGGCGCGUAGGCGGUCACGCACGUCCGUUGUGAAAUCCCCCGGCUCAACUGGGGAACUGCACAGGAAACUGCGAGGCUUGAGUUCGGGAGAGGGAAGCGGAAUUCCGGGUGUAGCGGUGAAAUGCGUAGAUAUCCGGAGGAACACCGGUGGCGAAGGCGGCUUCCUGGACCGACACUGACGCUGAGGCGCGAAAGCGUGGGGAGCAAACAGG
Molecule: ribosomal RNA, 253 nt
Filed under: uncultured bacterium
Lineage: Bacteria
Description: partial 16S ribosomal RNA
Rfam family: Bacterial small subunit ribosomal RNA
Source: RNAcentral